GACGAACGCUGGCGGCGUGCUUAACACAUGCAAGUCGAACGGAAAGGCCCUGCUUUUGUGGGGUGCUCGAGUGGCGAACGGGUGAGUAACACGUGAGUAACCUGCCCUUGACUUUGGGAUAACUUCAGGAAACUGGGGCUAAUACCGGAUAGGAGCUCCUGCUGCAUGGUGGGGGUUGGAAAGUUUCGGCGGUUGGGGAUGGACUCGCGGCUUAUCAGCUUGUUGGUGGGGUAGUGGCUUACCAAGGCUUUGACGGGUAGCCGGCCUGAGAGGGUGACCGGCCACAUUGGGACUGAGAUACGGCCCAGACUCCUACGGGAGGCAGCAGUGGAGAAUAUUGCACAAUGGGCGGAAGCCUGAUGCAGCAACGCCGCGUGCGGGAUGACGGCCUUCGGGGUGUAACCCGCUUUCGCCUGUGACGAAGCGUGAGUGACGGUAAUGGGUAAAGAAGCACCGGCUAACUACGUG
RNAcentral lists this ribosomal RNA (468 nucleotides) under uncultured bacterium. Its description in RNAcentral is "partial 16S ribosomal RNA". It matches the Rfam family "Bacterial small subunit ribosomal RNA", at positions 28 to 507 of the family's 1533-position model. The record is from RNAcentral.